This 253-nucleotide ribosomal RNA is filed under the name uncultured bacterium. Its description in RNAcentral is "partial 16S ribosomal RNA". It matches the Rfam family "Bacterial small subunit ribosomal RNA", at positions 524 to 776 of the family's 1533-position model. The record is from RNAcentral.
UACGGAGGGGGCUAGCGUUGUUCGGAAUUACUGGGCGUAAAGCGCGCGUAGGCGGCCCUGCAAGUCGGGGGUGAAAGCCCGAGGCUCAACCUCGGAACUGCCUUCGAUACUGCGGGUCUCGAGUCCGGGAGAGGGGAGUGGAAUUCCUAGUGUAGAGGUGAAAUUCGUAGAUAUUCGCAAGAACACCAGUGGCGAAGGCGGCUCACUGGCCCGGUACUGACGCUGAGGUGCGAAAGCGUGGGGAGCAAACAGG